AAUCAACGCUGGCGGCGUGCCUCAGACAUGCAAGUCGAACGCGAAAGUUUCCUUCGGGAAACAAGUAGAGUGGCGCACGGGUGAGUAACACGUAGGUAAUCUACCUUUGGAUGGGGAAUAACAACCGGAAACGGUUGCUAAUACCGCAUAAUGCAGCGGCACCUAAUGGUGACAGUUGUUAAAGCGGGGGAUCGAAAGACCUCGCGUCUAAAGAGGAGCCUGCGGCGGAUUAGCUAGNGGUAAGGUAAUGGCUUACCAAGGCCACGAUCCGUAACCGGCCUGAGAGGGCGGUCGGUCACACUGACACUGACAUACGGGUCAGACUCCUACGGGAGGCAGCAGUCGGGAAUUUUGGGCAAUGGGCGAAAGCCUGACCCAGCAACGCCGCGUGAAGGAUGAAAUCCCUCGGGAUGUAAACUUCGCAAGAACGGGAAGAAUAAGUAGGGGACAAUACCCCCUAUGAUGACGGUACCGUUAGUAAGCUCCGGCUAACUCCGUGCCAGCCGCCGCCGUAAU
Molecule: ribosomal RNA, 516 nt
Filed under: uncultured bacterium
Lineage: Bacteria
Description: bacterial SSU rRNA
Rfam family: Bacterial small subunit ribosomal RNA
Source: RNAcentral